Molecule: ribosomal RNA, 443 nt
Filed under: uncultured bacterium
Lineage: Bacteria
Description: partial 16S ribosomal RNA
Rfam family: Bacterial small subunit ribosomal RNA
Source: RNAcentral
CCUACGGGUGGCAGCAGUGGGGAAUAUUGGGCAAUGGGCGCAAGUCUGACCCAGCAACGCCGCGUGAAGGAAGAAGGCUUUCGGGUUGUAAACUUCUUUUCUCAGGGACGAAGCAAGUGACGGUACCUGAGUAAUAAGCCACGGCUAACUACGUGCCAGCCGCCGCGGUAAUACGUAGGUGGCAAGCGUUAUCCGGAUUUACUGGGUGUAAAGGGCGUGUAGGCGGGAAAGCAAGUCAGAUGUGAAAACCAUGGGCUUAAACUGUGGCCUGCAUUUGAAACUGUUUUACUUGAGUACUGGAGAGGCAGGCGGAAUUCCUAGUGUAGCGGUGAAAUGCGUAGAUAUUAGGAAGAACACCAGUGGCGAAGGCGGUCUGCUGGACAUCAACUGACGCUGAGGCGCGAAAGCGUGGGGAGCAAACAGGAUUAGAUACCCCAGUAGUC